CCUACGGGUUGCAGCAGUGGGGAAUAUUGGACAAUGGGCGAAAGCCUGAUCCAGCAAUGCCGCGUGUGUGAAGAAGGUCUUCGGAUUGUAAAGCACUUUCGACGGGGACGAUGAUGACGGUACCCGUAGAAGAAGCCCCGGCUAACUCCGUGCCAGCAGCCGCGGUAAUACGGGGGGGGCAAGCGUUGUUCGGAAUUACUGGGCGUAAAGGGAUCGUAGGUGGCCCGCUAAGUCAGACGUGAAAUCCCUCAGCUCAACUGGGGAACUGCGUCUGAGACUGGAGGGCUUGAGUGCAGGAGAGGAACGCGGAAUUCCAGGUGUAGCGGUGAAAUGCGUAGAUAUCUGGAGGAACACCGGUGGCGAAGGCGGCGUUCUGGACUGCUACUGACACUGAGGAACGAAAGCCAGGGGAGCAAACGGGAUUAGAUACCCCAGUAGUC
Molecule: ribosomal RNA, 440 nt
Filed under: uncultured bacterium
Lineage: Bacteria
Description: bacterial SSU rRNA
Rfam family: Bacterial small subunit ribosomal RNA
Source: RNAcentral